RNAcentral lists this ribosomal RNA (292 nucleotides) under uncultured Acidobacteriota bacterium. Its description in RNAcentral is "uncultured Acidobacteria bacterium partial 16S ribosomal RNA". Lineage: Bacteria; Pseudomonadati; Acidobacteriota. The record is from RNAcentral.
GGACUACAGGGGUUUCUAAUCCUGUUUGCUCCCCUAGCUUUCGUGCAUCAGCGUCAGUUGUGGUCCAGUGAGCCGCUUUCGCCACAGGUGUUCCUCCUGAUAUCUACGCAUUUCACCGCUACACCAGGGAUUCCACUCACCUCUCGCACACUCAAGCCCGGCAGUUUCUCGUGCAGGCUCCGAGUUGAGCCCGGAGAUUUCACACAAGACUUACCAAACCGCCUACGCACCCUUUACGCCCAAUAAUUCCGAACAACGCUCGCCCCCCUCGUAUUACCGCGGCGGCUGGCAC